CCCCGGCGAGGGGAGUGAAAAAGAACCUGAAACCGUGUACGUACAAGCAGUGGGAGCCUCUUAAUGGGGUGACUGCGUACCUUUUGUAUAAUGGGUCAGCGACUUAUAUUCUGUAGCAAGGUUAACCGAAUAGGGGAGCCGAAGGGAAACCGAGUCUUAACUGGGCGUUAAGUUGCAGGGUAUAGACCCGAAACCCGGUGAUCUAGCCAUGGGCAGGUUGAAGGUUGGGUAACACUAACUGGAGGACCGAACCGACUAAUGUUGAAAAAUUAGCGGAUGACUUGUGGCUGGGGGUGAAAGGCCAAUCAAACCGGGAGAUAGCUGGUUCUCCCCGAAAGCUAUUUAGGUAGCGCCUCGUGAAUUCAUCUCCGGGGGUAGAGCACUGUUUCGGCAAGGGGGUCAUCCCGACUUACCAACCCGAUGCAAACUGCGAAUACCGGAGAAUGUUAUCACGGGAGACACACGGCGGGUGCUAACGUCCGUCGUGAAGAGGGAAACAACCCAGACCGCCAGCUAAGGUCCCAAAGUCAUGGUUAAGUGGGAAACGAUGUGGGAAGGCCCAGACAGCCAGGAUGUUGGCUUAGAAGCAGCCAUCAUUUAAAGAAAGCGUAAUAGCUCACUGGUCGAGUCGGCCUGCGCGGAAGAUGUAACGGGGCUAAACCAUGCACCGAAGCUGCGGCAGCGACACUAUGUGUUGUUGGGUAGGGGAGCG
RNAcentral lists this ribosomal RNA (712 nucleotides) under Escherichia coli. RNAcentral describes it as "partial 23S ribosomal RNA". It matches the Rfam family "Bacterial large subunit ribosomal RNA", at positions 524 to 1238 of the family's 2925-position model. The record is from RNAcentral. Lineage: Bacteria; Pseudomonadati; Pseudomonadota; Gammaproteobacteria; Enterobacterales; Enterobacteriaceae.